Molecule: ribosomal RNA, 513 nt
Filed under: uncultured bacterium
Lineage: Bacteria
Description: partial 16S ribosomal RNA
Rfam family: Bacterial small subunit ribosomal RNA
Source: RNAcentral
AUUGAACGCUGGCGGCAUGCCUAACACAUGCAAGUCGAACGGCAGCACAGUAAAGAUUUCGGUCUUUAUGGGUGGCGAGUGGCGGACGGGUGAGUAAUGCGUAGGAAUCUGUCCUGGAGAGUAGGAUAACCCGAGGAAACUCGGGCUAAUACUGCAUGAUAUCGAGAGAUCAAAGGCCGGGGACCCUUCGGGGCCUGGCGCUCUAGGAUGAGCCUACGUCGGAUUAGCUAGUUGGUGGGGUAAAGGCCUACCAAGGCGACGAUCCGUAGCUGGUCUGAGAGGAUGACCAGCCACACUGGGACUGAGACACGGCCCAGACUCCUACGGGAGGCAGCAGUGGGGAAUCUUGGACAAUGGGGGAAACCCUGAUCCAGCGAUGCCGCGUGUGUGAAGAAGGCCUUCGGGUUGUAAAGCACUUUAGUUGGGGAAGAAAAGUAAUGAGUGGAUAACUGAUUGCUCUGACGGUACCCAAAGAAUAAGCACCGGCUAACUCUGUGCCAGCCGCCGCAGUAA